CAGCCGCCACGGUAAUACGUAGGUCCCGAGCGUUGUCCGGAUUUAUUGGGCGUAAAGCGAGCGCAGGCAGUUAGAUAAGUCUGAAGUUAAAGGCUGUGGCUUAACCAUAGUACGCUUUGGAAACUGUUUAACUUGAGUGCAAGAGGGGAGAGUGGAAUUCCAUGUGUAGCGGUGAAAUGCGUAGAUAUAUGGAGGAACACCGGUGGCGAAAGCGGCUCUCUGGCUUGUAACUGACGCUGAGGCUCGAAAGCGUGGGGAGCAAACAGGAUUAGAUACCCCCGUAGUCCCUGUCUCUUAUACA
Molecule: ribosomal RNA, 301 nt
Filed under: uncultured bacterium
Lineage: Bacteria
Description: partial 16S ribosomal RNA
Rfam family: Bacterial small subunit ribosomal RNA
Source: RNAcentral